GCUAACAAGGUUGGUCGAUUUUUUCAAGCCGUCGCGCAGUGUACCUAGAAGUACACGAGCAACGGAAGUUAAAAAAUCGGGCAAGAUUGAACGCAAAGGAAAGCGGGACAUUUGAGGAUGGGGUGACUGCGUACCUUUUGUAUAAUGGGUCAGCGACUUAUAUUCUGUAGCAAGGUUAACCGUAUAGGGGAGCCGUAGGGAAACCGAGUCUUAACU
Molecule: ribosomal RNA, 216 nt
Filed under: Proteus mirabilis
Lineage: Bacteria; Pseudomonadati; Pseudomonadota; Gammaproteobacteria; Enterobacterales; Morganellaceae
Description: partial 23S ribosomal RNA
Source: RNAcentral